This 265-nucleotide ribosomal RNA is filed under the name uncultured archaeon. RNAcentral's name for it is "partial 16S ribosomal RNA". It matches the Rfam family "Archaeal small subunit ribosomal RNA", at positions 717 to 982 of the family's 1478-position model. The record is from RNAcentral.
AGUCACUGACAUUAGAUACCCGUGUAGUCCCAGCCGUAAACUAUGCGCGUUAGGUGUACUGGUGACCACGAGUCACCGGGGUGCCGAAGGGAAACCGUGAAACGUGCCGCCUGGGAAGUACGUCCGCAAGGAUGAAACUUAAAGGAAUUGGCGGGGGAGCACCGCAACGGGAGGAGCGUGCGGUUUAAUUGGAUUCAACACCGUAAAACUCACCAGGGAAGACUGUUACAUGAAAGCCGAGUUGAAGACUCUGCUAGAUUUUCAG